RNAcentral lists this ribosomal RNA (462 nucleotides) under uncultured bacterium. RNAcentral's name for it is "partial 16S ribosomal RNA". It matches the Rfam family "Bacterial small subunit ribosomal RNA", at positions 28 to 507 of the family's 1533-position model. The record is from RNAcentral.
GACGAACGCUGGCGGCGUGCUUAACACAUGCAAGUCGAGCGGUAAGGCCUUUCGGGGUACCCGAGCGGCGAACGGGUGAGUAACACGUGGGUGAUCUGCCCUGCACUUCGGGAUAAGCCUGGGAAACUGGGUCUAAUACCGGAUAUGACCUCCUAUCGCAUGGUGGGUGGGGGAAAGAUUUAUCGGUGCAGGAUGGGCCCGCGGCCUAUCAGCUUGUUGGUGGGGUAAUGGCCUACCAAGGCGACGACGGGUAGCCGACCUGAGAGGGUGACCGGCCACACUGGGACUGCGACACGGCCCAGACUCCUACGGGAGGCAGCAGUGGGGAAUAUUGCACAAUGGGCGAAAGCCUGAUGCAGCGACGCCGCGUGAGGGAUGACGGCCUUCGGGUUGUAAACCUCUUUCAGCAGGGACGAAGCGCAAGUGACGGUACCUGCAGAAGAAGCACCGGCUAACUACGUG